RNAcentral lists this long non-coding RNA (1136 nucleotides) under Mus musculus (house mouse). RNAcentral's name for it is "myeloid RNA regulator of BCL2L11 induced cell death". Lineage: Eukaryota; Metazoa; Chordata; Mammalia; Rodentia; Muridae. The record is from RNAcentral.
AGUGACAAUGAAGACUGAGGUGUCUGCUUUGCAGUUUUUUUUUUUCUUUUCUUGUCUUUUUUUUUUUUUUUCCUAAUCAUGUGGACAUCUCUGAGAAUGAGGGGACUGGGUGACUUUGCAGUGUCUGCUUUCUAAGUUUCAAAGUGACUUUCCAGGCAAGCUGCGCAUAUCUUGGGAUCUUCACAGCACAGUGGCUGGGAAGGCAGGCGGACCCGUCUAUCAGCUUCUCCCUGUUUGAAGGUCCGACUCAUCAUGGCAGGACUUGGCGUUGGGUCAGAUGCCCUGUGGCUGUGUCAUGUGGAAUGCGAGGCUGCCUGCUCAUAUCUCAGCAGAUCCAGAGGGGACAAAGAAGAAGGCCACACCCACACGACUUCAGGCGCGUCUCCAAGCAUGUACCACAGCACCCGAGUGUGGGCAGAAGCCCUCGUGCUGAGUGGGAUGAAGCUUUGAAGAGGCUGAGACCUAUGAGAACCGAAGAACCUUUGAAUCUCCCUUCAGCUCCCCUACCCCGACCACAGCCCUCCUCUUGAUGUAAAACAUGUGUUGAACUUGAGAACAAGGAGGCUGGCGUCUGUGCCAGGAAGACUGCGCUGCUUUAAGCUUCUUCGGGGGUUGGAAACAGAUCUACCUCUGAGGUUUGCAUAGCACUCUCCGUGGAAGUCACUAUGGCUGGUUGAGAUGUGGAUUUGUGAGACAGCACCUGAAGCAGUGUGCAUUCCUGUCACUCGACCUGUUGUGUUGGGGAGGAACGCCCAGCUUACCACCAGGAUUAUCUCUGGAGGCUGAAGGCAGAUGCCUGGACUCUCUUGAGAGCAUGUAAAUGUUAAACUGAAAUGUUCAGAAACCAAGAGAAGGAGCCUUCCAGAACAACUGUGUACCCGGAAUAUACACUCUGUAUAGCUGACGUAUUCAUCUACAGGAUAGACCAGAAAAUCUGUCUUCUAGGCUUCCUUCUGCCUCUUCACCAGCUCUGAGAGCCUGAAGAGUCAUGGGGCCUCUUAUCAAAGAAAUGUUGAAAAAUGACUAAGACCACCGCCUUUAAUCCCAGCAUUUAGGAGACAGAGGCAAGCAGCUCUCUGAGUUCCAGAACAGCCAGAAAUGCACAGAGAAAUUCUGCCUCAAAAAAGCCAAACAAA